This 306-nucleotide ribosomal RNA is filed under the name Triticum aestivum (bread wheat). RNAcentral's name for it is "partial small subunit ribosomal RNA". Lineage: Eukaryota; Viridiplantae; Streptophyta; Magnoliopsida; Poales; Poaceae. The record is from RNAcentral.
AUGCUAUGGUCCACCACCAGUUUAUCGAGAGGAAUGAAUCACCUCUCCGGUAUCGCUAAAUGUUUGACAAACGUUGUGCUGUCCGUAUUACUCUCCCUGCUCCUGCCUUCUUUGAUUAUCAGGCAAAAGGAAGAUAUGUUAUUACUAGAGAGGAGGCAGAUGAGUACAAGAGGAGUGCGGAGGCAGCUCGCCGCCACACUGCAGCUCAGGAGGCAACAACUGCCGCAGCUCAGUACGACCCCAGCUACACGACAGGUAUCCGCCAGGCCAUCCUUGGCAAUAAACCAACUUAGGCCAAAAGCCUAA